This 279-nucleotide small RNA is filed under the name Sorex araneus (European shrew). RNAcentral's name for it is "7SK RNA (ENSSARG00000020283.1)". The stretch from base 1 to 218 matches the Rfam family "7SK RNA". Rfam says of the family: 7SK was discovered as an abundant small nuclear RNA in the mid-70s but a possible function has only recently been suggested. Two independent studies have found that 7SK RNA binds the CDK9/cyclin T complex (known as elongation factor P-TEFb). P-TEFb activates transcription by phosphorylating the C-terminal domain of RNA polymerase II. The record is from RNAcentral. Lineage: Eukaryota; Metazoa; Chordata; Mammalia; Eulipotyphla; Soricidae.
GGAUGUGGAUGAUCUGGCUAUGACAUCUAUCACCCCAUUGAUCUCCAGGGUUGAUGUGACUGAUCUGACUGCGGGGGGGUGGGGGGAGUGGGAGCUGGGGUCCCCUUCCUCCAUCACUGGUCCAUGUGUGUCCCUCCAGAAGCUCUUUGCUCAACUUGGUGGAAGAGGACUUCCUUCCCUAAUAAAGACGAUUGUUCUUUGGUUAGGGUAUACAUAUUUAUAUUCACUUAUAACUCACUUGCCCACUCAAUCUUCAUGGUAAAUGCUCUGUAAAAAUGU